RNAcentral lists this non-coding RNA (23 nucleotides) under Arabidopsis thaliana (thale cress). The record is from RNAcentral. Lineage: Eukaryota; Viridiplantae; Streptophyta; Magnoliopsida; Brassicales; Brassicaceae.
CUUAGGUGACUUUUCAAGGGUCA